GUGUCAGCCGCCGCGGUAAUACGUAGGGGGCAAGCGUUGUCCGGAUUUAUUGGGCGUAAAGAGCGUGUAGGCGGUUCGGUAGGUCCGUUGUGAAAACUCGAGGCUCAACCUCGAGACGCCGAUGGAAACCCCCGAACUAGAGUCCGGAAGAGGAGAGUGGAAUUCCUGGUGUAGCGGUGAAAUGCGCAGAUAUCAGGAAGAACACCCGUGGCUAAGGCGGCUCUCUAGUACGGUACUGACGCUGAGACGCGAAAGCGUGGGGAGCGAACAGGAUUAGAAACCCCCGUAGUCC
RNAcentral lists this ribosomal RNA (292 nucleotides) under uncultured bacterium. Its description in RNAcentral is "partial 16S ribosomal RNA". It matches the Rfam family "Bacterial small subunit ribosomal RNA", at positions 505 to 796 of the family's 1533-position model. The record is from RNAcentral.